This is a non-coding RNA of Lactuca sativa (garden lettuce), 2099 nucleotides long. The record is from RefSeq and is a predicted model, not a curated record. Lineage: Eukaryota; Viridiplantae; Streptophyta; Magnoliopsida; Asterales; Asteraceae.
UUCAUAGGGUUCCAACAACGCCACGUAUCCUACAUUCAUUCGGAGCGACACAACAUUCGACACAACGUUCUGGUGCUGUUGCAACCCUUCUGUACAAUUUCAAUGCCGCCAUGUCAUCCAACCUUUGAACGACGCCAAUCAAAUUGGAGGAGUAAAUCGACAUUUUUCUUCAAUAGCUUCCUAAAAGCGGUGCAUUGAGUCAACACGAUCUCUCAUACACACUUAUUGGCGAGAAAAGGGGUCUUAGUGGAAUGCUCUAAAGUGGGAGCAGUUCAGGUCCGAAGACAAAGAAUUUUCUUCGGAUUACAAGGUCUAUGGGGUUUUCUCGUUACCCACAUUAUUAUUACAUUUUGUUUGAUUUGUUAAAAUCACCAAAGGAAUGGAUUGUCAAGUAAGAAUUCAUUUUAUUCUUAAUUUUUAAAUUUCAUUUUAAUGUUCUUUUGAAACCCUUGCUUUUCUGGGUUUUUGAUUUGUUCAACUCAUUCAAAUUUCAAGUACUAUGGCGAUAGGGUUUCAAAUAAUCUGGUCUUAUCUCCUUCAGAUCGUAAUAUAGGAGAGUAUGCUUUUUUAUUUCUUGCUUUUGGUCGUUGAGAAUUCUCUAAGGCCUUUAAUCGAUCCUGCAUCAUGAUUCUUUAUUUCUUUUCUAAACUUGGUGCUUUAUAAUUUCAAUUAUAUAAAUUUUGUUCAAGAAGGUUAAUAUUUAUUUUUUCAUCUUCCAUUUGUUUGAAGACGACAUCUUUUGUAUUUUGUCAUAUAUUAAGGAAGUUCAGUUCAGUUUGUGAUUCUGUUGGGGAUUUUGGAAAUAUUGAAUAAGGUUUAGGAACAAAAAGUUUAGCAUGACUAUUAUAACAUUCCACUACUUAGAUUGCUUGUGUGGAUGAUUCAAAGAAAAUCAAUGAAAUAAAGAACGAGUUUUUUGAAUUUACAUUUCAAAGCGUCUUUUCAUGUGAUUUGUAAUACGAUUAGUAAAAUUCUAUACCAUUCCUUGGUUUGGUGUCAAGAUGUUAUGAACUGAUUACAUAUUUUGGAUUUUGUAAAGUGAAAUGUUUUAAAAUUGUUCUAAGUAAAAUUUUCUGAUAGGGUGAAGAUAAGGGUUUAUAUAAACUAUAUAUGUUAAUUGAAGAUUGGUUUGCUAAAUAUACAGUUAUCAUUAUAUUCAUUAACAUGAGAAAACUUAAGACCAUGAAAAAUAAUUUAUAAACUCAUGAUUUGAUAGUAUUUUUUGGACUUAAUUUUCCUUCAUUGGAUCUGUCAUAAUUAAAAUACCAGAAAAUAAAGUUUUUAAGAGAUUAUACAACAUGUAUGCAUCUUCGUUAAGCAAUGUUUGAUGAAUAAUUGGUUUAAUUCCAUGAAAAAAGUAACAACAAAGAUUGCAAAUGUAGAAGUUAGGCACUUUCUGAUUUGUACAUAUAUAGAAGCUUUUGUUGGACUUGGUAGGACAGUGACAUGUGACUUUAACCAAAAUUAUAUAUCAAGGUUGCUUGUGAUGGAAACAGGGGAGGAUGAUGAGAAAGUGGUUCUAGAGUUUGAAGGGUUGAUGAUUCUACUGGCACAUUUGUGCAUGGAAGUUUCUUUUGAUCUUUGCCACCACAAUGCUUUUUGUUUAUGGCGGUUUGAAGCUUGGUCAAUCCAUUUUGAUGUAAAACAAUUGUUAUUAUUCAAUUCCUUUAAGGUUUUUUUUUUUUUGAUAUACUUGGUAUUUGUUGAUUAUGGUCAAGAGGUUAACUCUAUACUACCAAGGGAAGUUGUGAGGAAAUCCUAUUUUGAAAUGAGACUUCAUUGAUGUAUUGGCUUCCAUACAAGGUCACAUCAAAUUAAGAAGCAGAGGACAUAACAAUACAGAUCAACCGGCAACCAUAGAACAACUGCCUAAAUCCUUGAAAUAGAAAUCAAAGAUGGUAUUUUAUGAUUAAUACCAAUAUCCUUAGAGUGCACAACAAAUGACGUUGAUAGGUAAUAAGUUUUCCAUAAGGUGAAAAAUCAUAUCAAGAAAUCUCAAUGAAUUUUCAUUUAUUUGUUGAUUAUAGUAACAUACUUUCCUUUUCAUUUUCAUUUUCUUAUUCGUCCAGUGUAUAUUGAAAAUCCAUCCAUUUAUAACA